AUUGAACGCUGGCGGCAGGCUUAACACAUGCAAGUCGAGCGGUAGCACAAGAGAGCUUGCUCUCUGGGUGACGAGCGGCGGACGGGUGAGUAAUGUCUGGGAAACUGCCUGAUGGAGGGGGAUAACUACUGGAAACGGUAGCUAAUACCGCAUAACGUCGCAAGACCAAAGAGGGGGACCUUCGGGCCUCUUGCCAUCAGAUGUGCCCAGAUGGGAUUAGCUAGUAGGUGGGGUAAUGGCUCACCUAGGCGACGAUCCCUAGCUGGUCUGAGAGGAUGACCAGCCACACUGGAACUGAGACACGGUCCAGACUCCUACGGGAGGCAGCAGUGGGGAAUAUUGCACAAUGGGCGCAAGCCUGAUGCAGCCAUGCCGCGUGUGUGAAGAAGGCCUUCGAGUUGUAAAGCACUUUCAGCGAGGAGGAAGGUGGUGAACUUAAUACGUUCAUCAAUUGACGUUACUCGCAGAAGAAGCACCGGCUAACUCCGUG
This 490-nucleotide ribosomal RNA is filed under the name uncultured bacterium. Its description in RNAcentral is "partial 16S ribosomal RNA". It matches the Rfam family "Bacterial small subunit ribosomal RNA", at positions 30 to 507 of the family's 1533-position model. The record is from RNAcentral.